Long non-coding RNA from Trifolium pratense (red clover), 137 nucleotides. RefSeq lists it as uncharacterized. The transcript is spliced from 3 exons. The record is from RefSeq and is a predicted model, not a curated record. NCBI's taxonomy places the organism in Eukaryota, Viridiplantae, Streptophyta, Magnoliopsida, Fabales, Fabaceae.
UUAACUUCAAAUGUUACAUUUUUAUUAGUCUUCACCAAAGCCCCAAAACUGUUGAAGUGGCUCCAAACCUCCUCAAAAUUUAUAUAAGUCACUUUCAUCCACUUAAAAAUAUUCUUCCAAACACGUAGUGAGAAAGA